Molecule: long non-coding RNA, 3345 nt
Filed under: Salmo salar (Atlantic salmon)
Lineage: Eukaryota; Metazoa; Chordata; Actinopteri; Salmoniformes; Salmonidae
Description: lncRNA (ENSSSAG00000106660.1)
Source: RNAcentral
UGGAGUGUGAGGCCGGUCACAGCCUCCCUAUUCAUCUAUUUCUCUUAUCUAGGCCUGUGUUUCCGCCUACUAUUCUGGAGUGUGAAUUCAUUACACUUUGUGACACAAAAAGGGAAGGGGAUGGGGAAAAGGGACCAACUAACCUUACACCCAUUAAAAACCUCACCACUUUUCCACGACUUGGCUCUAUCUAAUCCUACACCAGGCCAACAAACCUGCGAGGACGAGACACUAUCAUUAAACACACCUUGUAAAUCUUCUGCAGUAAAAUCUCGUACACCCAAGUACUUCUCUGUAGCUGCCACCACAACAUAUAUUUUAUGUGAUUUACGUUCCAUUUCUGUGGUACAGUUGAUAACCAUGGCUAUGCCUCACUCUCUGUUGGCCUCAGUUUCCUCACAGGGAUCCUCUCAGGAUCUCUACCCAUCUUCCUCUCUUCACUGUCUCAGCAUACCACACCUUCUGUACUACUCUGAUCCUGGCAACUUCAGCCUGCCUUUCUCUCACUGGAAACUUCUGAUCCUCAGCAUCAUGGGUACCCCCAAAGUUAACACACAACUGUUUCCACCGAUACUGCAUAUUCUUUUGUUUCAUGCCCUCCUGCACACUUCUCACGGUCGCCUCUGUCUUCCGUAGGCUUAAACAAGCGCUAUAACAUGGAAAUAUGGCCGCCCGGCAUGGGAACUCUAAUCCUAAAAAGGUGUGUAGUCAUUUAACAUUUUUUUUUUUAAAUAAAUACUUUCUCACAGAAUUGAAAGUUAUUCCAAAUGUUUCCAAAACGGUAUCUCUUCGUGCAAGGCAUAGGCCUAUUUGCGUUUAGACAGAGCAUUUGGGAAGCGUCAUGGCAUUUCCCUCAGUUAGGUCCCAUUCCCGUUUUCUUUGUUUCCAUCAGUUUGGUUCUUUAAACGUAAACGGUUUCCGUUACAACCGCAAGACGUAAUGAAUACAACCCUGCUAAUGAACUCGGAAUGUAAGUCCGUCAUUUUAGUUGCUUUAAACCAAUAGGUCCCAUCAUUUGAAGACGUCAUUGUUAAAUACAGCCUAUACGAUAGUAUACUGAUACUGUAUUGUUUAUGAGGUUUCACCGGUGGGAGGCGCCUGAUUUAAUUUUCUCACAGGUGAGAUGCAUAAAACAGGUAAGAUGAGGAUCGACGCCACUUCUGCUUCGUUUGUCAUCGGCGUUGAGGUAUUCACAGUGCUGUAAAAUGGGUUCCAAACUUGAGAGUGCAAUGGAGGGGCUAAUUCGAGUGUUCCACUCAUACUCCUCAAAAGAAGGGGACAAGUACAAGCUGAGCAAAGUUGAGCUGAAGAAUCUGUUGCAGGGUGAACUGAGUGACUUCCUGGCGGCAAGUAAGGACCCUAUGGUAGUAGAGAAGAUCAUGAGUGAUCUGGAUGAAAACAAAGAUGGCGAGGUGGACUUUCAGGAGUUUGUCAUCUUGGUUGCUGCGCUGACCGUGGCCUGUAACGAGUUCUUUGUAGAGAGCCUGAAUGAAUGAGUUUGGAAACAGUCUGUGACCUCGGCUUUCUACUCAUUAUUCCUUGUUAAUAAAACAAACAUGUAUGCUUUAAUUUAUUUGUACUUUUUGACAGAAACCGGCAAAGGUUUCAAUAUUGUCACAAUGGUUAUUACUAACAAAGGCUCUUUUUACAACAGUCAAAUGAUUACCGCUGUAGAGAAUCCUGCAAUGGACUGACCAGUUUCAGUGUACUGUCAUUGCACUAGUAGUUAACAUUCUGCUCAGAUCAAUAAAGGUGAUUGCGGUCUAAAUAUGUUAAACUCAGCUCAUCGUAGACUUGAAUGCGCAUUACUGGUACAUGUCUUUUGCAUGUGAAAUCUGGGGCUGUAUGAAUCAAUUGUCUCAAGAGUGCUGAUUUUAGGAUCAGUUUUGCCUUUUUAGAUCAGUGAAUAAGAUUACAUGGACAGUAGGGACUUGAUCCUAGAACAGCACUUGUACUGAGACUCUUCAUGUGGCCCCUGGUCUGCUACCUAUGCUUAAACAUGGCAAACUGCACCCAACAUUAUAGUGAAGGAUUUGCACUGAAAUACAUAACCCCCUUCUGUUUGGCUAAAAACAAACAGUUCUAAACCAAGUUCCCAUGAAGCAGACUGGUGAAACUGGCUGGCUGGAUUCUAAUCAAUCUUAAUGACAUGCAAGGCUUGCUUUAAAUCCAAUUUGCAAAAGAGAAACUGCUUUAGAUCCUGUGUGACGAUGCGUCGGCAGCAACAGAACACUGCAGUCUGACAACUUAAUACUGGAGUCUGUGGCCUAAGUCUGGAUGCUUCAGUCAUGUGUUAAACACUCCCUGUAACAAACUUAUGUCACGUGUGGUGCAGACUGUAAAAUUCAAACUAUUUGUGGCUCAAUAGUUAGAGGUACAUCAAGAUACUGUCUAUGGCACAUUUGUGGUCAUGAGUCAUGGACACCAAAGUAGGAUACAACCAAUGGUAUGUGGCGACUGUUCUUAUAAAAUGUGGUUGAUCACGAUGUACUUGGUGCAACUCUUGCGGGUUGAAUAAAUCGAACAAUAGCACCACACUAGGUCUGUGGAUAAGGUUGAGACGUCUAGAGCUUGCCGGCUCAUUUUGAGUGUGCACUGAGCAACAGGUCAGGAGUUUCAUGUAUGACUGCUGCUGUGUAAAAUACAUUGGCUACGUUGGAUUAAUCCUUCAAAACUACAGGUUGAGUGUCAGCGAAUGUGUCAAUCCCUGAAAAAAAAAUCCCGAACAAUGGCAAUUACUACUGGAAACAGGCUUUGGAAAAUAACUAAGGAUUCAUCUGGUGAAGUCUAAAUACCAGUCUUCAUUCAUUUACACAAUUUGACAGAAAAGGGGCACAUUCUCUCCCUUUAAAAAGCAAUUUGGUCCAGACAUGAAUAUGAAAAAGCAAUUGCAUUACAUGUGUAUGGUUGCGUGCCCUCUACUUCUUUCCACAUUCUGUGAGGAAAUAUUAGUAAUUUGACUCUGGCCAUGUCCAAAUACCCAUACUUGCAUCCUAAAUAUUUUUAGUAUGAAACAUUUUAAAUCAAGUAUACUUUAAAUACCCGGAUGUCAUCCAUUUUAGCUUUGACAACCAGAUAUGGGGAUGUGCUACCAAAAUUAACCAAUAACAUGAAAUAAUGCAAUUGCGCAUGAUGCAUUCUCAGUAUGGGAAACGAAAGUUUUAUAGUAUGCAAUUUUCAAAAACCAAGAAUGGUUUAAAUGUUACUCAUUUCAGCUCAUCUAGUAGAAUUCAAUGCACAUUUUUCCACAGUGCAUUGGAAGAGGUGGGCUGCGAGUGAUUGGCUACUUAGAACUAGGGCCUAACAAAAUUGGGCAACUUAAUUAGGAAGAUGCCGAAUAGCGAC